Molecule: ribosomal RNA, 253 nt
Filed under: uncultured bacterium
Lineage: Bacteria
Description: partial 16S ribosomal RNA
Rfam family: Bacterial small subunit ribosomal RNA
Source: RNAcentral
UACAGAGGGGGCAAGCGUUAUUCGGAAUUAUUGGGCGUAAAGGGCGCGUAGGCGGCUUUGCAAGUGACGGGUGAAAUCCCUCGGCUUAACCGAGGAACUGCCUGUUAAACUGCAUGGCUUGAGACCGGGAGAGGUGAGUGGAAUUCCCAGUGUAGCGGUGAAAUGCGUAGAUAUUGGGAGGAACACCAGUGGCGAAGGCGGCUCACUGGACCGGUACUGACGCUGAGGAGCGAAAGCGUGGGGAGCGAACAGG